AGGAUGAUCAGCCACACUGGAACUGAGACACGGUCCAGACUCCUACGGGAGGCAGCAGUGGGGAAUAUUGCACAAUGGGCGCAAGCCUGAUGCAGCCAUGCCGCGUGUAUGAAGAAGGCCUUCGGGUUGUAAAGUACUUUCAGCAGUGAGGAAGGCGGAGUCGUUAAUAGCGGCCUCGUUUGACGUUAGCUGCAGAAGAAGCACCGGCUAACUCCGUGCCAGCAGCCGCGGUAAUACGGAGGGUGCGAGCGUUAAUCGGAAUUACUGGGCGUAAAGCGCAUGCAGGUGGUUUGUUAAGUCAGAUGUGAAAGCCCGGGGCUCAACCUCGGAAUUGCAUUUGAAACUGGCAGACUAGAGUACUGUAGAGGGGGGGUAGAAUUUCAGGUGUAGCGGUGAAAUGCGUAGAGAUCUGMAGGNNNAAUACCGGUGGCGAAGGCGGCCCCCUGGACAGAUACUGACACNUCAGAUNCGCGAARGCGUGGGGAGCAAACAGGAUUAGAUACCCUGGUAGUCCACGCCGUAA
This 523-nucleotide ribosomal RNA is filed under the name Vibrio sp. LC313. Its description in RNAcentral is "bacterial SSU rRNA". It matches the Rfam family "Bacterial small subunit ribosomal RNA", at positions 297 to 805 of the family's 1533-position model. The record is from RNAcentral. Lineage: Bacteria; Pseudomonadati; Pseudomonadota; Gammaproteobacteria; Vibrionales; Vibrionaceae.